UGGUGGGUAGUUUGACUGGGGCGGUCUCCUCCCAAAGAGUAACGGAGGAGCACGAAGGUUGGCUAAUCCUGGUCGGACAUCAGGAGGUUAGUGCAAUGGCAUAAGCCAGCUUGACUGCGAGCGUGACGGCGCGAGCAGGUGCGAAAGCAGGUCAUAGUGAUCCGGUGGUUCUGAAUGGAAGGGCCAUCGCUCAACGGAUAAAAGGUACUCCGGGGAUAACAGGCUGAUACCGCCCAAGAGUUCAUAUCGACGGCGGUGUUUGGCACCUCGAUGUCGGCUCAUCACAUCCUGGGGCUGAAGUAGGUCCCAAGGGUAUGGCUGUUCGCCAUUUAAAGUGGUACGCGAGCUGGGUUUAGAACGUCGUGAGACAGUUCGGUCCCUAUCUGCCGUGGGCGCUGGAGAAUUGAGGGGGGCUGCUCCUAGUACGAGAGGACCGGAGUGGACGCAUCACUGGUGUUCGGGUUGUCAUGCCAAUGGCACUGCCCGGUAGCUAAAUGCGGAAGAGAUAAGUGCUGAAAGCAUCUAAGCACGAAACUUGCCCCGAGAUGAGUUCUCCCUGAGACUUUAAGUCUCCUGAAGGAACGUUGAAGACGACGACGUUGAUAGGUCGGGUGUGUAAGCGCAGCGAUGCGUUGAGCUAACCGAUACUAAUGAACCGUGAGGCU
RNAcentral lists this ribosomal RNA (665 nucleotides) under Enterobacter hormaechei subsp. xiangfangensis. RNAcentral describes it as "partial 23S ribosomal RNA". It matches the Rfam family "Bacterial large subunit ribosomal RNA", at positions 2259 to 2925 of the family's 2925-position model. The record is from RNAcentral. Lineage: Bacteria; Pseudomonadati; Pseudomonadota; Gammaproteobacteria; Enterobacterales; Enterobacteriaceae.